Molecule: non-coding RNA, 1693 nt
Organism: Pocillopora verrucosa
Lineage: Eukaryota; Metazoa; Cnidaria; Anthozoa; Scleractinia; Pocilloporidae
Source: RefSeq, a predicted model, not a curated record
CGAAAAAUACGCUCAUUAUCUUGCGUGCGACUACAUUGUAUUUCUUUUACGGCUUCGGCGACUGCUUCCUGUCGAGAAAUCAAGAUCGAAAAGAAAACCUUCUCAGAAACUGAUAUCACGUCUCAAGUCUCUUUUAAAAGGAGUUUCUCGUUGAUAUCAAAAUGAAAACCAUUGAACGUCUGCUUCUUAUCUGGAUGAUGGCAUCUGUAGUAGAAGGUCAAUCCCCAUGUUCAUUGGCUAAAAACUUUUGGAUAGUAAAUAGCAGCGGUGAAUUCAUAAAAUGCAGACCGUGCCCAGACUGCCCUGAGGGUCUCGGGCUGAACAUUCAAUGUGGCUCAUCGAUCACGAUCACACGUCAUACUAAGAUAGAAUGUGUCCAGUGUAAAGAAACAAAGACCUACUCCGAUAGCCAUGGAGUGGAAAGCUGCAAACCCUGUCAGAACUGCGGUCGACGAAAUGUCCUUCAAGAAUGCACCUCGGUCCAAAAUCGCAAAUGCGGCCGUAAAUGUCCCAAAGGGUAUUUCUUUGAUGGCCACAUCACUGAUUGCAGAGAAACUGCCCCAGCAAUAAUCUCAACCACGACUUUGUCAAUAGAGCCUACUCCUAGUAUCUGGCCACAACUUUCAUCUCCUAUUGGCGGUGGCUCGUCUACAGCAAUUACAGCGUCUAUGAAAGUUUUAUUUUCAAUAAAAAGUGCUACCUCGACAAGUAUAGCGUCGGCUCCAAGCAUAAAGCCACAGCGUUCAUCGCUGAUAAGCUUUUCGUCUGCAGAAAUUCCAGGGUCUGCUGAAGUUCCACCGUUAGUAGGAAACCGUUCCGCUCCAAGCGUAGAAUUCACACAGGGCAUCAUGCCACAACCAUCGUCGUUGUAUCGUGGAAUUGUAUCAACUUCGAUUCCUGAAGGUGUAGAACUUCCAAUACUAAAAGGAAACGACGCCUCUGCAAGUUUCUCGGAAAAAAAAGAGACUCAGGGACGAAAAAGCAAAGCUUUGACACUGUUGAUUAUAUUGGGAAUAAGAGGAGCGAUAGUUUUGAUCGUCAUUUUUACACCGCCUGCAGUACUUUGCUGGAUGAAAUUCAGAAUGUUUAAGAAGACAAGGCCAGAACAUGAAGAUCCUGCUAGAAUACCACUAAACCCCUUACGAGUCACUGAGAAUUCACCAAGCUGUUCUUUGCUGGACUUCAAGCUCGCCGACUUUCCAUAUGAUGUCGAGGAUUUUAUUCUGCAACUAGAUUCUGAUUCCUCGCCAGUUCAAAAGAACUGGAGACAUGUCGCUCACAGGUUUGAAAUUUCCAAACAAGACAUUCAGCUGUUGGAGACAGAGAGCAGGAAGCCAGGAGUCAGCGCAAUAAGGCUUUUGAUUGAAAAGUUGUGCAGUUUCAAAUGUACGACUCUAAAAGAGUUCGUAGACGUCCUCCAGGAGCUGGAACGCAACGAUGUUGCCAACGACAUUAUCAGCUGGUUUAGGCAAAAACAGGAUAGAUGUUCAGAGGAGGAUAAAAAUUGACAAUACCCAAAGCUUGUUGGAUUUUUCAUAGACAUCCUAUACCACGCAUGGACUCUAAGAACAAUGACAAUUGAUAAUAAUUAAGUCGGUCUUGUAAAUAACGUGUAACUGAUUUUGUGUAUUUAGAGGAAUCAAAAUAGUGUAAACAUAUUUUUGGAAAGGAAAUUUUUGUAUUGAAAUUUAUA